CCUUGACCUAUAUUACAUUUACCAGAUUCCUGCGAGGUUGUUCGUGACAAUAUUUUAAAUGAGAACCAUAAGGAUGUUCAGAUAUUUAUCCGGUUUACACCAUGUGUCAAGUUCCUAUAUAAAUAGAGGAACAAUUGAUUGAUAUCAUAGUACGAUACUAGCCUUCAAAAUAAACAAUCAAAUCACUAUCAAGAUGUUCAAAUACGUAUUCUUCGCCGCUAUUCUGGCUUUCGCCACAGCAAAACCAUUAGUAGUGGAAUACCCAAUAGCUUCGGUAGCUUCCUACUCGACUCCGGUAGCAGUGGAUUACGAUUAUGUUGCACCAUAUUAUUACCCAGGUUACGCUACUGCCUAUGACUAUGCAGCUUACACCUACCCGUAUAGUUAUUACGUACGUUAAGAAGCAUUAAAUUAAUUAAAUUAAAACCAAAUAUAUUUAUUCCCAUAUA
Molecule: long non-coding RNA, 449 nt
Organism: Melitaea cinxia (Glanville fritillary)
Lineage: Eukaryota; Metazoa; Arthropoda; Insecta; Lepidoptera; Nymphalidae
Exons: 2
Source: RefSeq, a predicted model, not a curated record